RNAcentral lists this unclassified non-coding RNA (206 nucleotides) under uncultured fungus. RNAcentral's name for it is "sequence contains ITS1". Lineage: Eukaryota; Fungi. The record is from RNAcentral.
GUAUUUGAUUUUGCCUUGCGGCAGAUAAACAUUCAUUAAUCUAAACAAUGAGUUUUGCGAAUUUCAAAGGCAGGUUUUUAUCCCUGCCUUCAAAGUCAAGUGCACAGGUGUAAAUGGGACUAGAGAGCAAGCACAUACAGUCAAGACUGCCAGCAUCAACUCUCCGUAAUUCAUUAAUGAUCCUUCCGCAGGUUCACCUACGGAAA